UACGUAGGUGGCAAGCGUUAUCCGGAUUUAUUGGGCGUAAAGGGAACGCAGGCGGUCUUUUAAGUCUGAUGUGAAAGCCUUCGGCUUAACCGUAGUAAGCCUUUGAAACUGGGAAACUUGAGUGCAGGAGAGGAGAGUGGAAUUCCUAGUGUAGCGGUGAAAUGCGUAGAUAUUAGGAGGAACACCAGUUGCGAAGGCGGCUCUCUGGACUGUAACUGACACUGAGGCACGAAAGCGUGGGGAGCAAACAGG
RNAcentral lists this ribosomal RNA (252 nucleotides) under uncultured bacterium. Its description in RNAcentral is "partial 16S ribosomal RNA". It matches the Rfam family "Bacterial small subunit ribosomal RNA", at positions 524 to 776 of the family's 1533-position model. The record is from RNAcentral.